CUCAACCCUAACGGUGAUUCGUUCCAUUUCCUAGUGUCUUGAGGUCUAGAAUCUUCAAGAAUUUUCUGUCCUCUUUUUUUUCUUGUGAGUCGAUAGAAAUUCUUUGAGUGAGAAAUGAGUCUUGGUAAUUUCUUUGUGUGAAUUAGGCCGUUGAUCUGUUGUUGUAUCCAUUUUAUGGUCCAUUGUUGUGACUUCAUACUUGUGGAUUUGUGAGGGUUCUUGGGUUUGUUCAGAGCCUCUGUGAUGAUUCAAAUGGGCACAAGUGUCUAAGCCUAAUCUUGUUGAAGUCUUGGUGUCUACUGGUUUAGUUUGUAACAAUAUUCAAGUAUAAUAUGCAAAUCUGUAAUUUUUGUACAUUGAGUUUGUAAUGAUAGUAGUAUCAGAGCUUUUUCGACUGUUCUCUAGGCUUUGAUUGAAGAUUGGACCCUGGAAAGUUAAUUUUCAAUGUUCAUCUUGUGAUUGAUUGUAAUUUUGUUGAACCCUAGAUAUGGAUCGAUUUCGAUCUAUGGGUUAGACUUACAGAUUAGUCUUCUUACUAUUUAAAUUUGAAAGUUCUUUGUGAUUAGUGGUUCGAUCUGAAAUAGUGACCCCAAACUUGAAAUCCUUGGUAGAUUGAUCCUUGAGGUGGAACACUGGAUCUUAGCUAUAGCAAAGAGGCUCUGUAUAACCCCUACUAUUUGGUGGUUAAAUCCUAAGAACCACCCUUUGGUUUGCGACAUUUUUUACUCCUAUAACAUUCUAUAUUUUCUAUUCAUGUUUGUUUCUCUUACGUAAUACUGUUGUAAAUUGUAAAGUAAACAUUAAUUGUUUACUGUGACCUGCUAUAUAAGAUCAUAUAGUCUUCCUGAUGUAUUCAAAUUGAGCCUUGACUUGAGAACAUUAUUCUCAUGGAAUCCUGGUGAAUUUGAUCAUCUUGGGCGACUAUUGGUGAUAUAUUCUUUCAUUCUUUAGAUCAUUUGAUCUUGACUGUGUGUUUAACUAUAAUAUUUAUUACCGUGU
RNAcentral lists this long non-coding RNA (999 nucleotides) under Olea europaea subsp. europaea. Lineage: Eukaryota; Viridiplantae; Streptophyta; Magnoliopsida; Lamiales; Oleaceae. The record is from RNAcentral.